UUCCUACGGGACGCAGCAGUGGGGAAUAUUGCACAAUGGGGGAAACCCUGAUGCAGCGAUGCCGCGUGGAGGAAGAAGGUUUUCGGAUUGUAAACUCCUUUUCUCAGGGACGAUAAUGACGGUACCUGAAGAAAAAGCUCCGGCUAACUACGUGCCAGCAGCCGCGGUAAUACGGAGGAUGCGAGCGUUAUCCGGAUUUAUUGGGUUUAAAGGGUGCGCAGGCGGAGGUGCAAGUCAGCGGUCAAAUUGCGGGGCUCAACCCCGUACUGCCGUUGAAACUGCAUCCCUUGAGUGCGCGAGAAGUA
This 305-nucleotide ribosomal RNA is filed under the name uncultured bacterium. Its description in RNAcentral is "bacterial SSU rRNA". It matches the Rfam family "Bacterial small subunit ribosomal RNA", at positions 336 to 659 of the family's 1533-position model. The record is from RNAcentral.